GGAGUUCUGGUCUAGUAUGAUUCUCGCUUCGGGUGCGAGAGGCCUCGAGUUCGAUUCUCGCUCGCAACUCCC
Molecule: transfer RNA, 72 nt
Filed under: Pleodorina starrii
Lineage: Eukaryota; Viridiplantae; Chlorophyta; Chlorophyceae; Chlamydomonadales; Volvocaceae
Description: tRNA-Pro
Source: RNAcentral